UCUACUUAUCAAACAGAUUGAUUUCCCCAGAAAUAUUCAGUGAGUGAAGCCAAAAUUGAAGGAGCAGAGGAUUGAAUGCCAGGUUGCUAACAAACUCCCUCUCGCUAGGAACAGGGCAAUCUGAAAGAAAAAAUGUUCCUGGCCCUUGGUGCAUGAUCCCUUGGUGUAUUAAAUUUGGAAGGAGUG
This is a long non-coding RNA of Amblyraja radiata (thorny skate), 186 nucleotides long. RefSeq lists it as uncharacterized. The record is from RefSeq and is a predicted model, not a curated record. Lineage: Eukaryota; Metazoa; Chordata; Chondrichthyes; Rajiformes; Rajidae. The transcript has 3 exons.